GAUCAAGUUAUGAAGGGCAGUAAAUGGAUGCCUUGGCGAUGGAAGGCGAUGAAGGACGUGGUUAGCUGCGAUAUGCUUCGGGGAGCUGAGAACAGGCUUUGAUCCGGAGAUUUCCGAAUGGGGCAACCCACCCGGGUUCGACCUGGGGAUUUCUUUCUGAAUUCAUAGGGAAGAAAGGCAAACCUGCUGAAUUGAAACAUCUAAGUAAGCAGAGGAAAAGAAAGCGAAUGCGAUUCCCUUAGUAGUGGCGAACGAAGGGGGAGUAGCCCAAACCAGGGGUUUUAAUCUCUGGGGUUGUAGGACCUCGCUGUGGAAUGGAGAAAGAUAGGAGAAACCCCUGGAAAGGGGUGCCGUAGAGGGUGAUGGCCCCGUAUCCGAAAUUUUGAUUCAUCCUAGAGGAAUCCUGAGUAAUACGGGAUAGGAGGAACCCCGUAUGAAGCUGUGCAGACCACUGCAUAAGGCUAAAUACUAUCCAUCGACCGAUAGUGAACGAGUACCGUGAGGGAAAGGUGAAAAGAACCCCGGGAGGGGAGUGAAAUAGAACCUGAAAUUUUCUGCCUACAAGCGGUCGGAGCCCGAAAGGGUGACGGCGUACCUUUUGCAUAAUGGGUCUGGGAGUUUUUGCAUCUAGCAAGCUUAAGGAUGGUUUCCGGAGGCGCAGCGAAAGCGAGUCUGAAUAGGGCGUUUAGUUAGGUGCAUAAAACCCGAAACGGAGGUGAUCUACCCAUGGCCAGGUUGAAGCUCGAGUAAAGUCGAGUGAAGGACCGAACCCGUGAACCUUGAGAAGUUCUGGGAUGAGCUGUGGGUAGGGGUGAAAGGCCAAUCAAACCCCGUAAUAGCUGGUUCUCUUCGAAAUAUAUUUAGGUAUAGCCUCGCACACUGAUUGCCGGAGGUAAAGCACUGAAAAGGCUAGGGCCCGUACUAGGGUACCAACCCUUAUCAAACUCUGAAUGCCGGCAAGUGCAGUGCGGGAGUCAGUCCGCGGGGGAUAAGCUCCAUGGACGAGAGGGAAAGAGCCCAGACCGCCAAUUAAGGCCCCUAAAUCACCGCUAAGUGGAAUUAAGGAGGUGGGUUUACAUAGACAGUAGGGAUGUUGGCUUAGAAGCAGCCAUCAUUUAAACAGUGCGUAAUAGCUGACCUAUCGAGUGAGCCUGCGCCGAAGAUGAUCGGGACUAAGUGGUGUGCCGAAAUUGCGGAUUCCGCAUUUUUUUGCGGAAUGGUAGAAGAGCGUUCCAACUGGGCUGAAGCCGGAGGGGUAACCGACGGUGGACCGGUUGGAAGUGAGAAUCCAGACAUGAGUAACGAUAAGCACGAUGAGAAUUCGUGCCGCCGUAAGGAUAAGGUUUCCUGGGGCAGGGUCGUCCGCCCAGGGUUAGUCGAGAGCUAAGGCGAGGCCGUAAGGAGUAGUCGAUGCACAAUAGAUUAAUAUUUCUAUACUAGUUUUUCCAUGUUAGUAUCGAAGGAGUGACGGAGAAGGUUAGUUCAGCGCAGUGGUGAAUAUCUGCGUCUAAGUCUCCAAUGCCGUUUCGUAGGAAAAUCCGCGGGACACAUAGGCAAAGGGAUGGGGUACUUCCGGGGCAACCCGGAGGGAAUUGAAUGAGAUCCAGCUUCCAAGAAAAGCUUCGUCGAUGGUGGAAAAGUUACUCGUACCGCAAACCGACACAGGUAUCCGGGAUGAAUAUUCUAAGGCGCGUGAGUGAAGUCUCUCCAAGGAACUCGGCAAAUUAACCCCGUAUCUUCGGUAGAAGGGGUGCCGGCUUUAUUGCCGGCCGCAGUAAAUUGGUCCAACCGACUGUUUAGCAAAAACACAGCUCUCUGCCAAGUCGCAAGACGAUGUAUAGGGAGUGACACGUGACCGAUGCGGAAAGGUGAAACCCGGAGGUGCAAGCUUCUGGACUAAGCCCCCGUGAAUGUCGGCCGUAACUAUAACGGUCCUAAGGUAGCGAAAUUCCUUGUCAGGUAAGUUCUGACCUGCACGAAUCGUGUAACGAGUUGGGUACUGUCUCGGAGAGAUGCUCAGUGAAAUUGUAGUCGCGGUGAAAAUGCCGCGUACCUGCAGCAGGACGGAAAGACCCUAUGGACCUUUACUGUAACCUGGUAUUGGUAUUUGAUUUUUGAUGCGUAGAAUAGGUGGGAGACCGCGAAACGGCACUUCAGGGUGUCGUUGAGUCGCCGGUGAAAUACCACUCUUCAAUGAUUAGAUAUCUAACCGUCCGCCCUAAUCGGGCGGCGGGACCGUGCUAGGGGGUCAGUUUGACUGGGGCGGUCUCCUCCCAAAGUGUAACGGAGGAUUGCGAAGGUUCUCUCAGGUCGGAUGGUAACCGACCGUAGAGCGUAUAGGUAUAAGAGAGCUUUACUGUGAGACCAACAAGUCGAGCAGUUACGAAAGUAGGUCUAAGUGAUCCGGUGGUUGAAUGUGGAAUUGCCAUCGCUUAAAGGACAAAAGGUACCCUAGGGAUAACAGGCUGAUAGCGCCCAAGCGUUCAUAGCGACGGCGCUGUUUGGCACCUCGAUGUCGGCUCAACACAUCCUGGGGCUGGAGAAGGUCCCAAGGGUUUGGCUGUUCGCCAAUUAAAGUGUUACGUGAGCUGGGUUCAGAACGGCGUGAGCCAGUUCGGUCCUCUAUCCGCUGUGGGCGUUGGAGAUUUGUGGGGUUCGUUUUCUAGUACGAGAGGACCGAAAACGACAAGCCGCUGGUGUUCCGGUUAUCAUGUCAGUGGUAGCGCCGGGUAGCUAUGCUUGGAAUGGAUAAGCGCUGAAAGCAUCUAAGCGCCAAGCCACUCCCGAGAUGAGAUCUCCCGAAGCUUUGAGCUUCCUAAAGGGCCCUGGUAGAUCACCAGGUUGAUAGGUCGGAUGUGUAAGUGUAGUAAUGCAUUGAGCUAACCGAUACUAAUGGCCCGUGCGACUUAUACCA
This 2914-nucleotide ribosomal RNA is filed under the name Puniceicoccales bacterium. RNAcentral's name for it is "23S ribosomal RNA". It matches the Rfam family "Bacterial large subunit ribosomal RNA". The record is from RNAcentral. Lineage: Bacteria; Pseudomonadati; Verrucomicrobiota; Opitutia; Puniceicoccales.